UCCCAGUGAAGAAACAGUCACAUGUCUUACCUCCUGUCCUAGUCCCAGAGCCUGUAAAGAAGAAUAGGUAUUAAUUCUUCUUUAAAUGUUUGGUAGAAUUCCCCUGGGAA
Molecule: non-coding RNA, 110 nt
Organism: Leptonychotes weddellii (Weddell seal)
Lineage: Eukaryota; Metazoa; Chordata; Mammalia; Carnivora; Phocidae
Source: RefSeq, a predicted model, not a curated record